This is a long non-coding RNA of Apis mellifera (honey bee), 213 nucleotides long. RefSeq lists it as uncharacterized. The record is from RefSeq and is a predicted model, not a curated record. The transcript has 2 exons. Lineage: Eukaryota; Metazoa; Arthropoda; Insecta; Hymenoptera; Apidae.
GUCCUAGUACAGGAACUUUAUGUCCGUUAUUCAAUGUAAUAGUUGGUACCGCCAUCCUAUUGCGUCAAAGUGUAGUAUUCAAUAGUUACUUCUAAAAUACAAAUACAGAACGUUACAUGGGUCCCCAAUUAACUGUAGGAUUUUGUUGAAAUCGUGUUAACCUGUUUUGUCUGGAUACUGGAUUUGCUAGAGGAUGUAUAUCAAAUGAAACAU